Molecule: ribosomal RNA, 569 nt
Filed under: uncultured beta proteobacterium
Lineage: Bacteria; Pseudomonadati; Pseudomonadota; Betaproteobacteria
Description: bacterial SSU rRNA
Rfam family: Bacterial small subunit ribosomal RNA
Source: RNAcentral
CAGCCACACUGGAACUGAGACACGGUCCAGACUCCUACGGGAGGCAGCAGUGGGGAAUUUUGGACAAUGGGCGCAAGCCUGAUCCAGCCAUUCCGCGUGAGUGAAGAAGGCCUUCGGGUUGUAAAGCUCUUUCGCAAGGGAAGAAAACUUACAUUCUAAUAAAGUGUGAGGCUGACGGUACCUUGAUAAGAAGCACCGGCUAACUACGUGCCAGCAGCCGCGGUAAUACGUAGGGUGCGAGCGUUAAUCGGAAUUACUGGGCGUAAAGCGUGCGCAGGCGGUUUUGUAAGUCAGAUGUGAAAUCCCCGAGCUCAACUUGGGAACUGCGUUUGAAACUACAAGACUAGAAUAUGUCAGAGGGGGGUAGAAUUCCACGUGUAGCAGUGAAAUGCGUAGAGAUGUGGAGGAAUACCAAUGGCGAAGGCAGCCCCCUGGGAUAAUAUUGACGCUCAUGCACGAAAGCGUGGGGAGCAAACAGGAUUAGAUGCCCUGGUAGUCCACGCCCUAAACGAUGUCUACUAGUUGUUGGUGGAGUAAAAUCCAUGAGUAACGCAGCUAACGCGUGAAGU